RNAcentral lists this long non-coding RNA (229 nucleotides) under Lathyrus oleraceus (garden pea). Its description in RNAcentral is "Pisum sativum (pea) long non-coding RNA (PSAT_LNC001649)". The record is from RNAcentral. Lineage: Eukaryota; Viridiplantae; Streptophyta; Magnoliopsida; Fabales; Fabaceae.
UUUAUUUUGUUUAAUUCAUAUUAAUUUCAUUUUUAAUCCAAAAACUAUGGGACUUUCACCAAAAAUCUUUAAAUAUUUUCCUCUUUUAUUUUCUAAAUUUAAAUUAUACUUUUGAUUAAUUUUGAUAUUUUUCAUGAAUUAAUAGUUUUGUGCAUAUUUUUAAUUAUUUAAAAAUACUUCUGACUUUUCAAAAUUCAUGAAAUUUUUUGUCUAAGGUCCUUUGACCUUG